UUUGUGUUUGUGUGUGUAGUGUUAAUUUUGUCAUCUAUUUUUAAUUUAGUCUUAGUCUUGUGCCAAAUGUCCUUGUUAGUUUUAGUCAUAUUUAGUCAUUCACAUAU
Sander lucioperca (pikeperch) is the source of this 107-nucleotide long non-coding RNA. RefSeq lists it as uncharacterized. The transcript is spliced from 3 exons. Lineage: Eukaryota; Metazoa; Chordata; Actinopteri; Perciformes; Percidae. The record is from RefSeq and is a predicted model, not a curated record.